AGGCGAACAGUGUGCAAUUCGAGU
Molecule: microRNA, 24 nt
Filed under: Ascaris suum (pig roundworm)
Lineage: Eukaryota; Metazoa; Nematoda; Chromadorea; Rhabditida; Ascarididae
Description: asu-miR-5353-5p
Source: miRBase by way of RNAcentral